RNAcentral lists this ribosomal RNA (517 nucleotides) under uncultured bacterium. RNAcentral's name for it is "bacterial SSU rRNA". It matches the Rfam family "Bacterial small subunit ribosomal RNA", at positions 501 to 1016 of the family's 1533-position model. The record is from RNAcentral.
CUACGUGCCAGCAGCCGCGGUAAUACGUAGGUCCCGAGCGUUAUCCGGAUUUAUUGGGCGUAAAGCGAGCGCAGGCGGUUAGAUAAGUCUGAAGUUAAAGGCUGUGGCUUAACCAUAGUACGCUUUGGAAACUGUUUAACUUGAGUGCAGAAGGGGAGAGUGGAAUUCCAUGUGUAGCGGUGAAAUGCGUAGAUAUAUGGAGGAACACCGGUGGCGAAAGCGGCUCUCUGGUCUGUAACUGACGCUGAGGCUCGAAAGCGCGGGGAGCAAACAGGAUUAGAUACCCUGGUAGUCCACGCCGUAAACGAUGAGUGCUAGGUGUUGGGUCCUUUCCGGGACUCAGUGCCGCAGCUAACGCAUUAAGCACUCCGCCUGGGGAGUACGACCGCAAGGUUGAAACUCAAAGGAAUUGACGGGGGCCCGCACAAGCGGUGGAGCAUGUGGUUUAAUUCGAAGCAACGCGAAGAACCUUACCAGGUCUUGACAUCCAUCUGACCGCUCUAGAGAUAGAGCUUUC